CCUACAUCUCAGCAGACCCCUAGCAAAUCCUCCCCAGCUCCAAGCUGCACUCCAGCCCUUCAGCAGGACGAAGCCAUCCUCAAGUCCUGAGGACUUGCGGGUCCAUAAUCACCAGCAACAACCCCGGGCUUUGGCCAGAAAGCCCAAUUCAGCCAUCCUUAAUGUCUGCACCAAAAAACAUCGCCUGGCCCUACGGGGUCGAGCUCCAGCCCCAUGUAGGUCAGACCUACACGAACCUGGACCCCAUACCUCCACCACAGCCUGGUGGCUGUCCCCGUGCCAUGUCCCCAAGCCCCGAACAGCUGGAACGACACACCGCUGCUAAGGCUCUUUGGUGAAUAAGCACACGCCUGUCCGUGUGUUAUUAGUGGUUUAAGUGCUUACAGCCCCACUAAAAACUGAAGGUGAUUUAAAAGGUUAUGUCAUCGAGGGGAUUUGAGGUAGUUGGGGCGAUUACGUUGCUGGAAGGCAGCUGAGAUGUUUACGCUCCCUGAAGUAUUUACGGGCCUUUAAAACCUUAUGGCGCCUUGGGGGAGAGGGCAGAGGGGAGACAGCUGUUUGCCGAGGCACGGUGCCCAGCUCCCGCCGCCGAAGCUGGAGAUGUCACGUCCUUAACGCCAGCAUUUCUCCCACCGACCAGGGAGGACUCCUGGGCCGUGGAGUGUCCUUGGUUGCAGGACCAAGAAUCCAGGUGAAGCCAUCCUCCUCCAUCCGCCUCCGAGGCACAACCAGGCCGCGAUGUCCUAAACCUGGAAACCCCACACCUGGAGGGGGCCCCACGGCAUCAGGGAUCAUAUUUGGGAAGGACUGAGCUCCCCGUUGUGAAAACAUCCACAAACAGGCCCCAUCCAACCGCUUGCUGACCAAAUGCACGAGCCCCUGAUACGGGACUGCGCCCUUCGGAGCACCGUUAUGGGCGGUAGGCCUCCCCGGCCACCAGCCGCUUUCUGAGGCAUCUCCAGCCCUGUUCUGGGUGAGGAGCAUCUGGUUAAACCCACUGAAGGCCCC
RNAcentral lists this long non-coding RNA (1008 nucleotides) under Anser brachyrhynchus (Pink-footed goose). RNAcentral's name for it is "lncRNA (ENSABRG00000018551.1)". Lineage: Eukaryota; Metazoa; Chordata; Aves; Anseriformes; Anatidae. The record is from RNAcentral.